This is a long non-coding RNA of Phyllopteryx taeniolatus (common seadragon), 602 nucleotides long. RefSeq lists it as uncharacterized. The transcript has 2 exons. The record is from RefSeq and is a predicted model, not a curated record. NCBI's taxonomy places the organism in Eukaryota, Metazoa, Chordata, Actinopteri, Syngnathiformes, Syngnathidae.
AUUAUAUGUUGUACAAAUGAAAUCUAGUUUUAGAUCCAAUGUCUUUCUAAAAAAAAAGAAAGUACACCAGCAUUUCCGCAAUUAAUAUACUUUAAUAUAACAAAUGUAAAAUUGUACUUACAGGCUUUAAGUCUAUGAAUGCUGACCAGUCUGGGCUUCCCUGUUUAAGCUGCUGCCCCGAUGACCCGACCUCGGAUAAGUGGAACUUAUCCUCACCAGGGUCACGGGCUGCUGGAGCCUAUCCCAGCUAUCUUUGGCCGGGAGGCGGGGUACGCCCUGAACCGGUCGCCAGCCAAUCGCAGGGCACAUACAAACAAACAACCAUUCGCACUCUAAUUUACAGCUAUGGGCAAUUUCGAGUCUUCAAUCAACUGACCACGCAUGUUUUUGGGAUGUGGGAGGAAACCGGAGCACCCGGAGAAAACCCACCCAGGCAUGGGGAGAACAUGCAAACUCCGCACAGGCGAGAACGGGAUUUGAACCCAGGUCCCCAGAACUGUGAGGCAGAUGUGCUAAGCAGUCGGUCAACAUGCCAGCUAUGUAAUUAUUAUUGUAGUAAAUAUUUCAGUCGACAAAUAAAGGUUUUAAACAAUUUUUUUUUU